Molecule: ribosomal RNA, 687 nt
Filed under: Pellenes nigrociliatus
Lineage: Eukaryota; Metazoa; Arthropoda; Arachnida; Araneae; Salticidae
Description: partial large subunit ribosomal RNA
Rfam family: Eukaryotic large subunit ribosomal RNA (bases 444-687)
Source: RNAcentral
CAGUCUGAGCUCGGCGGACCCGCGGCAGGGAAGUAUGGUAGAGCUUCCCGUGACUGGGACCGUCCCGAUGCGGGCACUCCGUCGUUCCAGACGCAUUUGUCUCUCGUCCCAAGGACGCUGCAGCCGGUUCGGAAGUGCAAGCGUGGCGGCCAGAAGGCCGGGAAAUGGCAGGUGGCCGGAGGCUCUCCUCGUGGGGGUUUUCGGUUGUUAGCCGUCUCGGUAGUGGUUAGUCUCCGGACCGAGGUGUCUUCAGUCCCUCCAGGGACUCUUCGCCUCCUCCCUGAGUCGCGGGACAGACCUCGGCAAGGGCUCCGUAUUCCCCCGUCGCACUGCUGCGUAGUGGGCGGAGUAAUGCGUCACCCUGUUGGCUGGGGCGGCCCGUAGGGGGCUCGAGGCUGGCAGCGAGUAGGUCGGUCACCCACCCGACCCGUCUUGAAACACGGACCAAGGAGUCUAACAUGUGCGCGAGUCAGAGGGUCUUGAUUAGGCCCUCGGGCGCAAUGAAAGCGAAGGGCUGCCUCGCGCAGUCUCAGAGGGGAUCCCCCUCCUCAGUAAGGGGGCGCACCCUCGACCCGUCCUAUCCGCAUCGCCGGUUGGGCGGAGUCUGAGCGUACACGUUGGGACCCGAAAGAUGGUGAACUAUGCCCGGACAGGACGAGGCCAGAGGAAACUCUGGUGGAGGUCCGC